RNAcentral lists this ribosomal RNA (458 nucleotides) under uncultured bacterium. RNAcentral describes it as "partial 16S ribosomal RNA". It matches the Rfam family "Bacterial small subunit ribosomal RNA", at positions 29 to 507 of the family's 1533-position model. The record is from RNAcentral.
AACGAACGCUGGCGGCAUGCCUAACACAUGCAAGUCGAACGAGACCUUCGGGUCUAGUGGCGCACGGGUGCGUAACGCGAGGGAACCUGCCCUUAGGGUCGGAAUAACUCCCCGAAAGGGGUGCUAAUACCGGAUAAUGUCUUAGGACCAAAGAUUUAUCGCCUUGGGAUGGGCCCGCGUUGCAUUAGCUAGUGGGGAGGGUAAAAGGUUACCAAGGCGACGAUGGGUAGCUGGCCUCAGAGGGGGAUCAGCAACGCUGGGACGGAGACACGGUCCAGACGCCUGGGGGAGGCACCAGUCCGGAAUCUUCCGCGAGGGGCGAAGGCGGGACUGUGCAACGCCGGGUGAGUGAUGAAGCCCUUCGGACCGUAAAACUCUGUAAGUCGUGAGGAACAAAAGUGUAUUUAACCCGGCACGUCUUGACGGUACCUGGUCAGAAAGCCACGGCUAACUUCGUG